UACGUAGGCAGCAAGCGUUGUUCGGAGUUACUGGGCGUAAAGGGUGCGUAGGCGGCUUUUUAAGUUUGGUGUGAAAUCUCCCGGCUCAACUGGGAGGGUGCGCCGAAUACUGAGAGGCUAGAGUGUGGGAGAGGAAAGUGGAAUUCCUGGUGUAGCGGUGAAAUGCGUAGAUAUCAGGAGGAACACCGGUGGUGUAAACGCUUUCGUGGACCAUAACUGACGCUGAGGCACGAAAGCGUGGGGAGCGAACAGG
RNAcentral lists this ribosomal RNA (253 nucleotides) under uncultured bacterium. RNAcentral's name for it is "partial 16S ribosomal RNA". It matches the Rfam family "Bacterial small subunit ribosomal RNA", at positions 524 to 776 of the family's 1533-position model. The record is from RNAcentral.